GGCUUGAGGUGGCUUCCGGCCGCCAGGCGAGACUCCGCGGGAAAACUCCCUGCUAGAGAGACUAGGAGAUUUGGGGCUGCGGCCGUUUCCUCCGGAGCACCCACGGGACUGUGUGCUGGGGUCCCUCCACCGGCUGUGUCCUUUAUUCUUCUUUCUCACCCAACGAUUUACCUGAACGGUUAUAAAGUGCACGUUAUUUCCCUAAGCACUUUGAGUAUAUUGGCCCACUGCAUUCUGGACUUCAAAAUUUCUGAUGCGAAAUAUGCUGAUACUUUUGUUGAAGAAAUCUGGUCCUUCUUACUGAUGUGUUGCUCUUCUUCAUGGCUCGUGAAAACUAUUAGAGUCAUCCAAGGGUGGGAAGAGAGAUCAGCAACGUUAACUGGGUGUCAAGAAAACAUACCGAGAUUGAAGCCAUCCACUUCUGCAGGAACACCGAAAAGAAAGGACUGUGAAGACAACCAGAGUGGGAAGGAACCUCAGAAACCUUUGGACCAACAGAGGAAAAAGCCCAGAGGUGCAGGACAUAGAUCAAAACCAGUCGCAUGCGAGUCAUUCUAGGAUCCGGCCAAAGUUAAUUAACAGAGGGCCAUUCAGUCUCCACCGAGUCAAACAAUAAUUAGGUUAGUUAGGGUCUUUGAGCCCCAACACAGUCUAGACUCUGAGACACUGCAAUAUAACAAUAUUCUUCUGGUUUCUUCUCCAUUCCAAAUCUAUCUUCCUAAAAUACUAAAUUUUAAGAGUGAAAGUGAACUUGUGAACAUAAACAGGUAAAAUGUGGGUGUGUGUCCAGAAUGGUGACAGACAGGGAGAACUGCUGAAUAUAACUUAUCAGAACCUUACAAACUGGCCUUCCCUCAUGAUCCACCUAGGGUUUCUUUUUACUAGUCAGGUUCCACAGGAAAAUGUGAGAACUUAUACUUAGGGAAGAAAGACAUUACUCAGGUCCCUGCAAGGCUGGAAAAUGGGAAUGAUUCUCCACUUUCCCCUCCAGAUUUAAGCACUACAAAGACUGUCAACAUCUCUUGGCAUUUUGUACAGUACAGAGAGAUAGACACCCUACAUUGUGUAAUGUUUAUAUUUAAUAUCAGUGCUGCUUUCCGUCUCCAUUGAGUUCCCACAUUCAGCUCACUCACAGCGCUCCAAAGGCCUAGGAUAAGUGACCUGUGUGAAGACAUGGGGAGGCGGUUCUGGAGCACCUUCAGGUACUCCUCAGGAACUGAUGUUUUUUCACUUGUUGUUUGCCUAAGGCCAAGUUCUCUUUACCCGAAGGCAUCAUUCAGCCCCCCUUGCUAGGUAAUAAAGCACAAUAUUUUGUAGCGCUGGUCACAGUUGGUUCACAUCCUGGCUGUGUGACCUCGAGCAUCCUAUCUGACUACACUGAGCUUUCUGUUUCCUCAUCUGUCAAUGGGAUAACACUGUCUACACAUGGUUUCUGUGCCGCUAGCCAGAGAUCAGGCAUAUGAUGCCUACCACAGAGUCUGGCACAUAGUGAAAGCGCAAACAUUUGUUGCUAUGGUUUCUUUUUUAGAAGGAUUGGGAAAUAAUACUGCUGGGGCUAUAAAACCAUAGAACGAGGGGAGAAACUUGUUUAUUUUUUUGUUUUUAUGGGCUUUCCAAUGAAGAGCGGAAAGCCUGCUAGACAAAUUCUAAAAGCUGUAACACUGAAACUUGGUUUUUAAGACAAGCAAAGACACCUUAAAUUUGUCUUUUCUCUAUACCAGGAUGAAACAAUCCUAUUAACCCAUGGAUUUAAUGUCUACAAAGCAGAAAGUAGAAUAACUUGGACUUAAAGGUACUUAUGUCAUGCUAUUUUACCAAUUGAUUGUUAACGAAACAUCUAAACAGUAUUAAGCACUUGCUAGGUGCUGGGGAUUACAAAAAUCAAUGGUUGCCACAUAGCUCCUAACCAUAAACAGCUGACAAACUCUAUCUGACAACAAGAGAAGCAUAGAAUUUAAGUUCUCCUCCUCCAACCUUCCUAAAAGUAGAGAAAGUGAUAAUGUUACAUGUUCUUUGGCUUUAUAAUGUAGAAAAUAUAUCUGACUCAGAAGGCAAAUUGGGAUUUGACUGCAACUCUGACACCCGAGUUCCCAAUCUGUGAGGCUUAGUUCUCGAGGCUGCAAAACGAAGGUAGCAUUGGACCCAAGAAGAAUAUGAGAACCUAAUGAACGUGCUCUAAUAUCCCCCAUGGAAAGGCACAAUGGUAUUUUUUUUAAAUAAUCAUGAUUAUAAUAACAGAGGUACUUUACAAUUGGCACAAAAGUUAAAGCUGGAACAAAGCAGGCAAGAUUAACAUGGCCACUCUGUAAGAAUAAUAUGCAAAUCUAUAAGGUAUUUUCUAUAGUGAUGAACAAUGAUUUGCUCCUUAAUCUACAUUUUCACUGCCCUUUAUCUAUACCUUGAUGAUAGUU
Homo sapiens (human) is the source of this 2411-nucleotide long non-coding RNA. Ensembl annotates it as ZFHX3 antisense RNA 1. Its record names the gene ZFHX3-AS1. The record is from Ensembl. Lineage: Eukaryota; Metazoa; Chordata; Mammalia; Primates; Hominidae.